This 253-nucleotide ribosomal RNA is filed under the name uncultured bacterium. RNAcentral's name for it is "partial 16S ribosomal RNA". It matches the Rfam family "Bacterial small subunit ribosomal RNA", at positions 524 to 776 of the family's 1533-position model. The record is from RNAcentral.
UACGUAGGGUGCAAGCGUUGUCCGGAAUUAUUGGGCGUAAAGAGCUCGUAGGCGGUUUGUCGCGUCUGCUGUGAGAACUCGGGGCUUAACCCCGGGCCUGCAGUGGGUACGGGCAGACUAGAGUGUGGUAGGGGAGACUGGAAUUCCUGGUGUAGCGGUGAAAUGCGCAGAUAUCAGGAGGAACACCGAUGGCGAAGGCAGGUCUCUGGGCCACUACUGACGCUGAGAAGCGAAAGCAUGGGGAGCGAACAGG